ACUAGAUGUACCUUUGUUGGCAAAGAACGUCUCUGCUUUUUAAUAUGCUGUCUAGGUUGGUCAUAGCUUUUCUUCCAAGGAGUAACGGUCUUUUCAUUUCAUGGCUGCAGUCACCAUCUGCAGUGAUUUUGGAGCCCCCAAAAUAAAAUC
This is a long non-coding RNA of Cervus elaphus (red deer), 150 nucleotides long. RefSeq lists it as uncharacterized. The record is from RefSeq and is a predicted model, not a curated record. Lineage: Eukaryota; Metazoa; Chordata; Mammalia; Artiodactyla; Cervidae. The transcript has 3 exons.